CUAGGACUUGGUAACAGGUUGAGAGCGGCCACUUGGCCGGGGGCGCCGGCUUCGGAGGCGGGAGGGAGGUGGAGGAAGGGAAGGCAGCUGCAGGGCCGACCUGCGGGGUGGGCGUGAGGCCGGGGGAUUGGGGCCGCAGGGGUUCGGCCUGGAGGAGCGGCGUGGGGGCGCCGGGGCCCUGAUUCCAUCCUGGGCGGGUCGGCCCCGCAGCCGCUGCGCUCGGAACCCCCUAGGCGCCCCGCAGUACCCGGCGUCCUUCCUGCCUCCUCCUCGCCCCUGUCCUCCGUCCGAGCCCCAGUCCCGCCGACCCUGCCGGCGCCUCCGCCCUCCCGCCCUCCCGCCCUCGGUUUCCCACGACCUCGGCGCGACGCGCGCGGGAUCCAGUGGAGACUGCUUUCCCAUAGGCCGCCAUCCAGGGCGGGGAAGGGAGCGGACCCUCCCGGCUCCAGGUGCCUGGGCCCCCGGCGGCCUGCGGAGGCCUCGCCCCACGCCACCCGCCCACUGGCCUCGUCUUCGCGCGGGGAGAAAAGCAGCCUGAUUCGGAGGAACGGGUUGCUUGGGGCGGCUCCCAGCUCGAGUUGUGGGCCCCGCCGCGGGUGCCCUUCGGAAACGCGCUGACACCAGGCGAAGCCGCCUCUGCCCGGACGCAGCCCGACACUUGGCCCGCGGGGUUCCCCGGGACGCCUGAGAGUAAUGGGCGCGAGGGGGAAAGCCGAACGGCCUCCCUGUGCCCGGCGCAGGCGGUGCCCCCUAGCUGGGUUCGCCGCGGCGGCGCUGCGAGCCCCCGACACUGAGGACUUUUGGUCCAACAGUCCGACGGGGCCCGGUGCGCCGUUCCCUCCGCCCUCUCCCCGCUCCCCGGCCCGCGCGUCUUGGAGGGUGGGUGAAUUGUCGGAAGCACUCUACGCCUGGCCAACCCAAACCAGGAACCUCCGCACCAAACAGCCCACGUUGCUGCUGCUCUGGGGUUUUAACGGCCAAGGGAGACUGGAGAAGGGGUGUUCUGCCUUCCCAUUCUCUUAGGCCCGUCCACUCCCCAUCCCCACAGUUUGGAAGUGGCCUUUUCUGAGGACUCCAGCGCAAAGCAUGUUUCUCCUUUUGAGCUGCGGAAGCCUUGCUUGUUCCCGCCAUUGGGAGGGCAUUCCAUCAUCUGCAGCUGCCUUCCUCGGUGGGCCUUGUCCCUUAGCGUCCACCUAGGGGACAUUCUAAGCUUCUUGAGACCUGCUUGUCCACCCCAACAUGUCUCAGCAUAUGGCUGUGCCCUAAGGGGUCUUUGAGGGCAUUUUAGGAGGUGAGCGGCGCCCCUACCUGGGCUCCGCGGGGCCGAUUCGGUUUGCCCUUUGCUGGCAUGUCAGUGAAUUAACUGCUGUCCUUGGGAUGACCUGCCCUAUGAUUUGGCCUCUGGAGCAUCCCGGGUGUGUAUUUCAGAACUCCUCCCAUCUUAUCCACCUGCUGAAGGCCUGGCCCCCUGAUAUGGUUUGGCUCUGUUUCCCCACCCAAAUCUCACCUUGAAUUUUAAUAAUCCCCACGUGUCAUGGGCGGGACCAGGUGGAGGUAAUUGAAUCAUGGAGGUGGUUUCCUGAACGCUGCUCUCGUGACAGUGAGUUCACAAGAUUUUUUUUUUUAACGGAGUAUCACUCUGUCACUCAGGCUGGAGUGCAGUGGCGCGAUCUUGGUUCACUGCAACCUCUGCCUCCCGGGUUCAAGAGAUUCUCCUGCCUCAGCCUCCCGAGUAGCUGGGAUUACAGGUGCGCGCCAUCACGCCCGGCUAAUGUGUAUUUUUAGUAGAGAAAGGGUUUCACCAUGUUGGUUAGGCUGGUCUGGAACUCCUGACCUUGUGAUCUGCCUGCCUCGGCCUCCCAAAGUGCUGGGAUUACACGCGUGAGCCACUGUGCCCAGCCGAUCUGAUGCUUUUAUAAAGGGCUUUCCCCGUCCCCCUUCCUCUCUCUCACCACCCUGUGAGAAAGGUGCCUUUCUUCCCCCUUCACGUGAACUGCCUCCAUGAUUGUAAGCUUCCUGAGGCCUCCCCAGCUAUAAGGAACUGUGAGCCAAUUAAACUGCUUUAUAAAUUAACCCAGGUAUUUCUCGGGUAUUUCUUCAUAGCAGCGUGAGAAUGGACUGAUACACCCCCAAUGUGGAGUAGGGGAAGCUGAGGGAGUUAGGAGGUCCCAGCAAGGUGAAGGUGUGAUGGGGUCUUGGGACAGUGAGAGUGCUGCCUCAGGCAACAGUGGGCAGGUCAUUGAGGCUCCAUUGAGCUUGGUGAGCAGGAAGCUGAGAGAGGGAGCUGUCGAUUCAGGAGUCAGGGGUGACAUGGAAGGAACCUAGGGCUUUGCCAGGCACAGGUGAAGGAAGGCCACUUAGGUACUGGCAGUGGGAAGAGAGGGCAGGGAGUGGUGGACGGAGAGGAAGAGAAAGCUGAACACUGGAGCACAAUGCGGGUGCUGGGAGGCAAGCAGAGGGGGCUGGGGGCUUCUCAUAUGGUGCAUCCUGGCAUUUAUAUUUUGAAAAAUAAUUGUUUUGUUCCCAUUAGUGCUUUUAUAAUAGUUUUAGGAAAGAAGAGAAAAUAUGAAUUAGCUAUUAUGAGGCUUCUUUUGAAGUUUCUUUCAGUUCAGAAACAUAUCCCACUUUACAAAAAAAUUAAGAAAAUUCAAAGUUAAAAAAUGUAGGGAGGCCAAUAAUUUUAGUUGCCAGACAUUUUAGUCUGACAAGACAACUCAUUGGAGUUUCCUUAGAGACGUAUUAGAAAUUCAGAGCUGCACACGCAUUUUUCCCCCUGCCAGAUAAACUGAAACAACAUAAAGUGAGUUUUAGUUAUUUCUUUCAACGAGACUGCGAGGCCUAUUUAGCUAACGAAAAAGAUAUCUGUAGAAAGAAGCAUUCUUGAUUCUUAUCUACAAGACAGAGCAGCAAAAAACCAAGAAUGUCAGAUGAGUAUUAUCUCUGUCCAUGGCAGAAAGGUAUCAUGUUGGUAUAAUUAAGAUUGGUCUUAAUGGAAACUUAGGCAAUAAAUAUAAACAUCAUAGUUUAACCUGCAGCAAAGCAAAUAAAAUACAUGAAAUAUAAUAGAAAAACAAUGCAGGCAAAGGCAGGCAGAUUGCUUGAGUCCAGAAGUUCGAGACCAGACCUGGGCAACAUGGCGAAACCCUGUCUCUAAAAAAAAAAAAAAAAAUGCAAAAAUUAGCCGGGCAGGGUGGUGCACAUCUGUGGUCCCAGCUACUUGGGAGGCUGAGGUGGGAAGAUCCCUUGAUCCUGGGAGGUCGAGGCUGCAGUGAGCUAUGAUUGCGCCAUUGCACUCCAACCUAGGUGACAGAGUGAGACUCUGUCUUACAAAAAAAGAAAAACAAUGCUAUGUGUGAAUUUUUUUCCAAUCUUUUAAUAAGGAAAAUGUUUUUUUCAAAAUAAUGGCUUAUAUGGAGUGUCAACAUAAAAACAAUAUAAUUUCAAAUUGAUAAGUAAAAUAUAGUCAGCAAUCUCACAUACAUCAAAAUUUGGUAUAUAACACACAUUCUGGAGAGGUGUUGCUUUUGGUCUUACUUUUUUUCCAUUUUUAAAAUUGUAAAACACAUACAAAAUUUAGCAUUUUAAUGACUUUUAAGUGUACACUUCAGUGUCAUUAAAUUCACAUUGCUGUGCAACCAUCACGACCAUCCAUCUUCAGGCCACUUUGCAUCCUGUGUAACAGAAACUCUACACCCAUUAAUAACUCCCCUUUCUCCCCUCCCUCCAGCGUCUAGCAACCACCAUUCUACUUUGUCUCUAUGAAUCUGACUAAUCUAGGUACUUUAUAUAAGUGGAAUCAUACAGUAUUUGUCCUUCUGUGUCUGAUUUAUUUCACUUUGCAUACCGUCCUCAAGAUUCAUCUAUGUUGUAGCACGUGUCCGAAUUUCCUUUCAAGGCUGAAUAAUAUUCCUGUGUGUGUAAUAUUUUGCUUAUUCAUCGAUAGGUACUUGGAAUGCUUUCUUCGUGUUGUAGCCAUUGUGAAUAAUGCCACUAUGAACACAGAUGUUCAAAUAUGCGUGGACAUUUUUAUAGGAAUGUAACAACAACAAAAAGCACACAGUGGGCUCCAUCAUGAGCUCAGCUGCAUACAGAGAUGGGGGGCGCUGGAAGUCGUGGUGGGGCAACUGAAGCACCUCUCUGGAAAUACUGUGUCCCAGGGGGACAGAAGGUCAGGCAGGUGGGUCCUGCCCAGGGACAAACCUGACAAUCACUGGCACAUCAGAAUUCCUGUGAAACUGCAAAAACAAAAAGGGUGCCUGUGCUGAGCCCUAGACCCCCUGAUUCAGUCUCUUGAUGAGGACCCUGGACAUGUGCAUGCUUAAAAGCCUCUCCGGAGGUUCUGACUUGCUACCCUUGGGGCUGGGAACCACACAGCCUGGGACUUGGGAAGGAAGGGCGAAUCUGUCUUUCCUCCUAGGGGCAGAGAGUAACUAUCAGAUGCACUGUUUUCCUAGAGAAACCCUGCAAGACCCUGAGGCAAAAUAGCUCUCCUGGGGUGGCCCUUUAGCCAAGCAAAAGUGAGAUGUUCUUCCCUCCUGCAACAAAUACCAAGUGGAGCCAGCCGUACAUGCCACAGUGUACAGGGGCUGUCACCAAGAGGAAAGUGGCUUAUGAACCAUCCCAGUAAGGCCUCCUAGAAGCACUGGGCAGAGGAUGCUUUGCAAUCUCUGGUGGAAGAUGAAACCAGAAACAAGUCUGUAUCCGUGAUGAUGGAAUGAGCAGCAGGCAAGGAGCCUAGAAAGUGAUGGGCACUCUUGCUCUUUGAAGGUGUGUGCCUGUCAUUGGGGCUGACAGGUUCAGUGACAUCCUCGGUGAGGCCUAGAUCCUAGAUCCACUGUUAGCUGGAUUUGUGACAUAAAAAUCCUUCACAUGCAAACAAACAAACAAACAAACACACAAAAAAACCUUUAAGGCAGGCAGUGAUCCCCAUUCCUUUGGAUUUUAUAGACCAGUAAGUGUCAAAUAAAACUUCUGGGACUGACAUAUGAUUACCAACUUUUAUGUAAGGACAAUGAAAAAGACCAAAAGGUAUGAUCUACCAUCAUUUCAAAAAAGAGGGCUAUUUUGAUAUCAUAAAAGAAGGAUAACUUCAGAAUUUAAAAGCGUACACAUUGAACUUUAAUUAGAAAAUAACCGUGUAUUUCCUGUGGCUUUCUCAUUUUCUGUGGAAGGAUGAAAAGUUUAUCAUCAUCUCUGCAAACUAAGGCUUCUUUGCCUUGAAUACUUAGGGGCAGCUGCACCAUUUGCAGAUGUUAUUUAUUUCCUUGAAGAGGUGUUUUCAGGGCUGUAAGAGAACCCUGAGGAAUUCAAGUGCAAAAAUCUCUUGGUAUCUUGCCUCAGUUUCCAAUAUUAAUAGCUGUGUGGUGAGUGUUCAGCCAGAAACGGUAUCAUUGCUUAAGUAAAAAAGAUUGUGGCAAGUAGCAUCAUGGAAACAAAGUUGAAAGGUUUUCUUAGAAAUGAUCUCAUCUCUGUGGUUUUCAAAUUAGUGCUCCAUGGAGCCACAGUGGUGUUGCUUGAAGCAACAGACUUGCAUUUUAAUUGUUUUACUAGUUAAGUUUCUGAUUAAGAUACAGUUCAGUUGCUUUAAGAAAAUGGCUGACCACCACUGAUCUAAUCCAUCACCAAUUUAAAGGGGAAACUAAGGCUAAAAGGAGGUAAGGGAUUUGCUUGAGGCCACCCAUUUAGUUAGCAGAACUUGGUGACACAUCACCAGUGGAGUGGGGGUAGGAAGGAUCUUGUCAAACCUUCCUAGUGUCUGUUCUCAGGUCAUCAAUGGUUGUACCAAAUCUUUCCAUCACUCCAUUGCAGGGAGUCCACUCCACCUGACAGUUUCCGUUCUGAAACAGGCUCCUUUUCAUACUGGACUCUGCAUUCCACCUGACACACUUUCCUACAUAAUAGUGAUAAAUAUUUCACUGACAACUGUUGGAAACUAAUUUUUAAACUCCAGUUCUGCAUUUUUGCUCCCAUUUUGACUACUAUUGAUAAAAGUUUCCUUUUUUGAGAUGGAGUCUUGCUCUGUCACCCAGGCUGGGGUGCAGGGGCACAAUCCUGGCUCACUGCAAGCUCUGCCUCCCAGGUUCACGCCAUUCUCCUGCCUCAGCCUCCCGAGUAGCUGGGACUACAGGCGCCCACCACCACGCCUGGCUAAUUUUUGUAUUUUUUUUUUUUUUAGUAGAGACGGGGUUUCACCGCGUUAGCCAGGAUAGUCUCGAUCUCAUGACCUUGUGAUCCGCCUGCCUCGGCCUCCCAAAGUGCUGGGAUUACAGGCGUGAGCCACUGUGCCCGGCCUAAAAGUUUCUUUAAUAGCAUUUAUUGGCUGGGCAUGGUGGCUCACACCUGUAAUCCCAGCACUUUGGGAGGACAAGGCAGGUGGAUCGCUUGCAGCCAGGAGAUUGAGACCAGCCUGGCCAACAUGGUGAAACCCCAUCCCUACUAAAAACACAAAAAAAUUAGCUGGGCGUGGUGGCACGCACCUGUAGUCCCAGCUACUCGGGAGGCUGAGGCAGGAGAAUUGCUUGACUCGGGGGGCGGAGGCUGCAGUGAGCCAAGAUCGAGCCACUGCACUCCAGCCUGGCGACAGAGUGAGACUCCGUCUCAAAAAAAAAAAAAAAUGUUUAGCUGAGUGUGGUGGUACACACCUGUAAUCCUAGCUACUCAGGAGGCUGAGGCAUAAGAGUUGUUUGGGAGGGAGGUGGAGGUUGCAGUGAGCCAAGAUCAUGCCACUGUACUCCAGCCUGGGUGACAGAGUGAGACUCAAUCUCAAAAAAAAAAAAAAAAAAAAAAAAACUGUACAUAUAUGAAGACUAUAGAGCUAAUAUUUAUAUGAAUAUCAUAAUUUACAAGGUAUUAAAAUGUUUGAACUACAUUGUCUUGUAUAUAAACUGAAAUGAAGUGGUAUCUACUUACUGGAGUUCCUCAGAUAGCUGAUCACAUUGUAGGCUGAAAACAUCUACAAGUCAAGUCUAUCAAGGACCAUAUCAUGCACUCAUUGUGUAGAAGGCCCCUCAAUGGCAAAACAUACCAUCUGGUAAGUCUGGACACAACUCAGCUGCACAGAGCAAACAAAUGACGAACUCAUAUAAUUUAAAACAGCGUUUUCACACUGUGGAUCUUAACCAUGGGCCAUGAAAUUCAAUUCAGUGGGUUGUGAGAGGAUUAACACACACACAAACCCACUGCCCUACCAAACACAAUCCUAGAAGAGAAAAAUGUCAAAGUAUGUUACAUGGCUUAUGAGUAAAUAUUUCAUAAACAUUUUAUUCCAAUCAUAUAUGUACGAACACAUAUGUACUGAGUCAUGACAUAAAUUUUACAAUUCUCUAGGGCAAAACAUUGCUCUAAAGAAAAGCAUACUUGGCCGAUCAGUCCCUUGAGAAGACUUUUGUUUUUGAUUUUUUGUUCACUUCUGAGCAAUGACUCUACAUCCUGAGUACACGGAAGCCCUCUCUCCUCAACUUGAUAGCAGUGCUCUUUAGCACAGCCAGUUCCCGGCUCAGGCUGUUUUCUGGAGGGAUGUGUCCUCCUCUUGCAGCCCUGUGAACUAACUGAAGGACAGCUGCAGCGGUGCAUCUGAACCUGCAGCGGAGGCAGCUCAGGUCCUGCCUACAGCAUGCACAUGUGAUGCCAGGGGCUUUCCACCAUGAUUUUUCACUGACAUGAUUUCCUUUCAUUCACCGGUAGCUCUGCCUUACCUGUAGAGCUCAAGCUCCUAGCACAGAACACAGGGGCUGAGUAAAGGCUUCUAAAUACAUGCAUUCAACAAUAAGCACAUUCAUUUUGCUAUAAACCAUAAAUAUUACACUCAAAAUAUAACAGUUUCUAACAAAAUAAAAAGUUUACCCAUUUCUUCAUACUUAAGAACUACAAAAGUACUAUACAAACCUUUAUUUACAUUAAAUCACAAUAGGUACAUAAAAAGUUGAGGCACUGGUAUCUGUGGCUAAUGGUAGUAAUCACAGCUCAUAUAGUAAAGUGUAUAACAUUAACCUUUUAAUUUUGAGCUGUUGCAAAAUUACCAUUUUAAUAUUAUAUAUACCAUAUAUUCAGUACCAAUUAUGACUUUUUUCUAAAAUAAUAAUAGAACAUGAUGCCCAGGGAAAAAGAAAAUACUUAAUAACUUUCCCAAGUGCUAGUAAAAAACACAUUGGUAUACACCUGAUUUGAGGGGCAGACAUGAUUCAGCCUAUGAGCCAUUAGGAGAGCGAAGCAAAGCUUUUUUAAACUGGAAGGACACUCAUGCUGAUUCGGUACAGACUCUUCAUCUUUCAUACUGGGAAACAAUGCUCACCGGGGCAAGUGUCACAUCAUUAUGUAAUAUAGUAAGAAAGAUGUCCCAGGUCUCCUAUUAACAAACCUAGAAUCUUUUCUAAUUCAUAACAGAGGUUUAUACUAUAAAUACAAUCAUAUUCUUGAAAGAUCAAAUCAAAUAUCAAGAAAAACAGAUCCAUGACAAUACUUUAGACUUCAAAAAAUCCUAAAGCAAUAAUUUAAUAAAAAUAUAUGUCAACAACUGUGUUCAAGAUAAUAGAAUCAGUGUGGAAUCCAGUGCCGUAAACAGUGAUGGCAGCAGUUUACUGGUGCAGUAAUUCAUUUAUAUGCUUAUGUGGUACUCUGUGUAUUGGUUGCGUUUUCAUCUGUAUCACUUGGGCUAAAUUUCUUCCAUAAAAAUUUCUCAUUUGAUUUCCAAAGAGAAGUUGCUGGCUCUUCUCUCCUUUUAAAGGGUGCUGCUAGAGGUGCUUUUUCACACAGAGUCUCUAUUACUGCCAAGUCUGUGAGUUUACUAAGACUCUCAUCAUUCUGCUCAUUCAAGAUGUCCCAGAAAUCUUUUGGUCUCUGUUUUGCUUUUUCCAUGGGCCCUGAAAGAACUUUCUUUGGCAGUUGUGUGGGACUGUUCCCAUGACUUUUAAAAAGGUCAUCAAGAAUAGAGGUAUCACCAAGUAAGCUUAUCACAGAAGUAUUUUCCAGCACUGGAUUUUCUAUCUUUUUGUUUUCCAAUUUGAGAAGGGGUUCUUUUCUUGAAAUGCCCGUUCUUGUGAGGUCCUGUUGGUCUUUCAUGGUAUUUUCUAACCUUCUCUCACGUGUUUCAGACUCACUGUUCAGAGAACGGGAUGUCACAGUAUCUUCGGAUGCCUGGCUGUUUUUCCCACUGUCAAUCUCUUGAGUAGAACUAACAGGUGAUUUCUUAGUUUCUGCAUCAUUAAAAAACACCUCUUCUCUAUAGGAAAUAUGAUUCUGAAACUUAACUGAUUUUCUUUUAUAUGUUUUUAGGCUGCAAACUUGAGAAAUUUUGUUGGUAGAAUCUUUAAAUGACAAGGUUUCAGAAUCUGACAGCCUUGGUUUUAUAAGAGAUUCUCUUUUAUCAGAUUUCUUCCGGGUGCGCUGCUCUCCUUUCUCAAAGGAAGAAUUGUUGAAUUGUGACACAGAAUCCACAAAAAAUUCUUUUACCUCUGGAUAUUGAGAAGCAUAAAAGUCUCUUAGCAUUUUCUGUCGUUCUUCUGAUGUGGCAUUGGUUAUAUGUUUAGCAAAUUCGUUUACAGAAGACGAGUUAAAAUAAGAGGCCAUUUCUUCAAAUUGUUUUCUAAAGAUUAAAUGAACAAAACUAGUGGUUAUUUUCAUUACAUUUUAUUUUGAAAGAACUCAUCACCAGUAAGAGGAAAUGUAGAGUCCACAGAAGGUAAUCUUGUUCCUUUAGCAUACGUCUGCUGAAUUCCACAAUGAAAACGCAUUUUAUCCUAGUAGAGUGAGGCCUCUACCCUUAUGCUACUGAGAAAAGUAUUUUAGCUCACAAAAUCACCAGCUUUGUAAGUUAUUUUGAUUUAUGCUAUUAUAUUAGGUAUUUCCUGGGAAUUAUGGAGGCCCAGCAUGCUACUCCUCCUUUGAGCCAAUUUAUGACUGACAUGAGGAUCAUGAUUUAUAGACUCUGUACUUGAAAAUCUAUAUUGUAUUCAAGUCUCAUGAAAUGAAAUUGUCAAAGAAUCUUAACGAAAAGAGCAAAUUCUGAAAAAUUAAGAAAGACAUUUUUUUCCCUUCCCUCUCCUUUUCCCCUUCUUUUACAAAUACAACAUAGAAAUCGCACAAGACUUUUUGAUGAGCCCAAAGGAAAGUUCUAAACUGAUAAACCUAGACUAUUUUUUCCCCAGUUGGCAUGGACACCUAAGCUAAGGAGUGAGAUGCUAUUAGAAGAAAUGUGUUGUAUUCUUAGUGUAAGAUACUAAUAAAAGCUGUUGUAUGCAUGUAUGAGGAAAUGGGCCUUCAAGAACCUUGGUAAGAUAGAGGCAGAAAGAUUUAGGGACCUGGGCAAUGAGCCCUGCUCCUUUCCCUAAAUGAGGGUGCCAUGGACUAAACUGUGCCCCUCCCCCAAAUCAUGCAGAAGCCCCCUAACCCAGGACGUAACAGUAUUUGGAGUUAGAGCCUUCAGGAGGUAAUUAAGGUUAAAUGAAGUCAUACGGGUGGGACCCUGAUCCAACAGGAUUAGUGUCCUUAGAAGAGAUGCCAGAGAACCCACACAGUUUCUUUCUCUUCUGUCUCUUCCUCUCUGCCAUGUAAGGAUACAGGGAGAUGGUGGCCACCUGCCAGCCAGGAAGAGGGCCCUCACCAGAAACUGAAUCAGCUAACUUCUUGUUGUUGGCCAUCCAGCCUCCAGAACUGUGGACACGAAUUUCUGUUGUUUAAGCCACCCAGUCUAUAGUAUUUUGUUAUGGCAAUCCAAGCAGACUAAGACAAUGGGUAUUGCUUUGCUGAUGAUGAGUUUGGGCCAUGAGAUAGAAC
RNAcentral lists this long non-coding RNA (10770 nucleotides) under Homo sapiens (human). Its description in RNAcentral is "non-protein coding LINC00092:14". Lineage: Eukaryota; Metazoa; Chordata; Mammalia; Primates; Hominidae. The record is from RNAcentral.